Molecule: ribosomal RNA, 429 nt
Filed under: Acidobacteriota bacterium
Lineage: Bacteria; Pseudomonadati; Acidobacteriota
Description: Acidobacteria bacterium partial 16S ribosomal RNA
Rfam family: Bacterial small subunit ribosomal RNA
Source: RNAcentral
UGGGGAAUUUUGGACAAUGGGGGAAACCCUGAUCUAGCCAUCCCGCGUGUGCGAUGAAGGCCUUCGGGUUGUAAAGCACUUUUGGCAGGAAAGAAACGGCAUGGGUUAAUACCCCGUGAAACUGACGGUACCUGCAGAAUAAGCACCGGCUAACUACGUGCCAGCAGCCGCGGUAAUACGUAGGGUGCAAGCGUUAAUCGGAAUUACUGGGCGUAAAGCGUGCGCAGGCGGUUCGGAAAGAAAGAUGUGAAAUCCCAGAGCUCAACUUUGGAACUGCAUUUUUAACUACCGGGCUAGAGUGUGUCAGAGGGAGGUGGAAUUCCGCGUGUAGCAGUGAUAUGCGUAGAUAUGCGGAGGAACACCGAUGGCGAAGGCAGCCUCCUGGGAUAACACUGACGCUCAUGCACGAAAGCGUGGGGAGCAAACAGG